This 379-nucleotide unclassified non-coding RNA is filed under the name uncultured Gammaproteobacteria bacterium. Its description in RNAcentral is "contains 16S-23S intergenic spacer region". Lineage: Bacteria; Pseudomonadati; Pseudomonadota; Gammaproteobacteria. The record is from RNAcentral.
UCCGUUUUGUCAACGGCAGUCUCUCUAGAGUGCCCAACUUAAUGCUGGCAACUAAAGAUAAGGGUUGCGCUCGUUGCGGGACUUAACCCAACAUCUCACGACGCGAGCUGACGACAGCCAUGCAGCACCUGUGUCCAGGUUCCCUUUCGGGCACACCCCCGUCUCUGGGGGCCUCCAGGACAUGUCAAGGGUAGGUAAGGUUUUUCGCGUUGCAUCGAAUUAAUCCACAUAAUCCACCGCUUGUGCGGGUCCCCGUCAAUUCCUUUGAGUUUUAACCUUGCGGCCGUACUCCCCAGGCGGUCGACUUCACGCGUUAGCUUCGUUACUGAGAGUGUCAAACCCCCAACAACUAGUCGACAUCGUUUAGGGCGUGGACUAC